UCCUUUGAUUUUGAGGAAGGUUUAAAGCUAGCGGCACUUUUAAUACAUGCUAGUCAAACGGGGAGUAUUAAAGAGGGGAAAGACCCCCCAAAGAGAGCCCCCCUUUUUGAGAACUCAAAGGGGGGGCCCCCGCUGAAGGGUCUCCGAAACCCCGUGGCAAACAGGUGAGUAAUGUACCGAUUUUGCCCAAAAGUGAGGGAUAAAACCCCAACCGGGGAUCCGAAGGAUCCCCGUAAAUAGAAGGGACCCACCUCAGGCGUCCGUUUGCUUUUGGAGAGAUCGGAAUUCGUAUUAGACGAGGAGAGUCCCGGUAAAAACUUUCCAAAAAAGACUUUUUUGCCUCUGUCAAUGAUGCGUAGCUGAGAGGUCACAGUUAUACUGAAACAAGGAUAACCGCGCUAAUGCGCGCCAGCAGUAGAGAAUUUUGGGCAAUCAACGAAAGUUGGACCCAGAGAUGUCGCUUUUUUGGGGGUUUUAGGUUUUUUGGGGCUUUGGGGUCCAUAGGAUCAUCAGCCCCGGGGCCUUUUUCUCCCUCUUUUAAGUCCGUCAAAAAGACGUGCCAGCAGACGCGGUUAUACGUCUGGACUAAGUUUUAGCCAAAAAACAGGCGUAAAGUGUGAAGAGAGUGCGAAGGGGGGAAGAGGAAAAGGAGACGCAUUUUUAGUUUCACAUUGUGAAAAAUCCAAGAAUCCCGCUUCUAUGCAGAGAAAAAAAAAGGUAAUUGGAACUUUUAGGUAUUGGUGAAAUAAUUCGAUCUAAAAAGGAACACCGGAGACGAAGGUUAAUUACCAAAAAAUUCUGUCGCUUUUUUCACGAAAACAUAGGGAGCAAACAGGAUUAGAUACCCUGGUAGUCUAUUGUUGUAAAAGCUGAUCUAACGCGGCAUAAUUUAUAUGUCGCCUUGAUAACUCGAAAAGAUUCCGCCUGAAUAGUACGACCGCAAGGUUGAAAUUCAAAAAAUUUGGCGGUUCACUAAUCCAAUUAGAGGAGCGUGUAGUUUAAUGCGAUGAUCCGCGAAUAACCUUACCAGAACUUGAAUAAAAGGAAUUGGCAAGGGGGGUAAAGAACGUCCUUGAUUUUUCCCCCCUACUACCACUACUUCGAUUUUGCCCUCGUGUGGGCCCCUUUUACAGGUAUCGCACGGCCGUCGUCAGUUUGUGUUGUGAAACUAUUUUAACGAACUUAACCCCUUUUUUAGAUAAAAAAAGGUAAAAGCUGGCUUUUGUCAAAAAUUUUUAUCAACCCUCUUCCUGCCCCCUUUUUAUCUAUUUUUUUUGGGAUGACGUCAGGUCCUCAUGGUCCAAAUGUUCUGGGCGAGGGGGGCUGAGCAAAAGGCGCCCCCCGCCAUGCGCUACAAUCUUUUAUACAAAAAUGAAGAUUCUCUUUGUUUUCAAUUCUUUUUAACAUAAAAGUUCGGAGAAAGACCUGAAAAGUUCUUUUGAAGUUGGAUUUAAUAGUAAUCGUAAAGUAGAGCGUUACGGUGAAUAUGGCUCUAGUGUUCGUACAAAUCGCCCGUCAACUCGGCCGAGUUUUAAAUGUUGAAAAAACUUAAAACCUUUUUAGUAUAUAUCUCGGGGGAGCGGGCUUUACCCCCUAAAAACCCUGGUUGGUGCAUUACCUUCGCUUUUUCCGAAAAGCUUUUUAGAUUUUGAGACUUUCGAAAUUAGGUUGAGUAAGUCGUAACAAAGCAAGAGUACUGGAAAGUGUUCUUG
This 1712-nucleotide ribosomal RNA is filed under the name Placozoa sp. H11 HM-2017. RNAcentral's name for it is "rns". It matches the Rfam family "Bacterial small subunit ribosomal RNA". Lineage: Eukaryota; Metazoa; Placozoa. The record is from RNAcentral.